This 71-nucleotide transfer RNA is filed under the name Podarcis lilfordi (Lilford's wall lizard). RNAcentral's name for it is "tRNA.Lys". The record is from RNAcentral. Lineage: Eukaryota; Metazoa; Chordata; Lepidosauria; Squamata; Lacertidae.
UGGACAGCUCAGUAGGUAGAGCACGAGUCUCUUAAUCUCAGGGUAGUGGGUUCGAGCCCGACAUUGGACAA